UACCGGUGAUCGGACAACGAUUCCGCC
This 27-nucleotide small RNA is filed under the name Bombyx mori (domestic silkworm). RNAcentral describes it as "ovarian small RNA-20747". Lineage: Eukaryota; Metazoa; Arthropoda; Insecta; Lepidoptera; Bombycidae. The record is from RNAcentral.